Molecule: small nucleolar RNA, 85 nt
Filed under: Lodderomyces elongisporus NRRL YB-4239
Lineage: Eukaryota; Fungi; Ascomycota; Pichiomycetes; Serinales; Debaryomycetaceae
Source: RNAcentral
CAAAAUGAUGAAUAUGUUCCUACAUUUUUUUCUGUCCGGUGAACCGUGAUCCAAUGGAUAAACUAACAUGCAUCACCAUCUGAUU